RNAcentral lists this ribosomal RNA (406 nucleotides) under uncultured bacterium. RNAcentral's name for it is "partial 16S ribosomal RNA". It matches the Rfam family "Bacterial small subunit ribosomal RNA", at positions 29 to 526 of the family's 1533-position model. The record is from RNAcentral.
AUUGAACGCUGGCGGCAGGCCUAACACAUGCAAGUCGAACGAGUGGCGGACGGGUGAGUAAUGUAUGGGAAACUGCCUGAUGGAGGGGGAUAACUACUGGAAACGGUGGCUAAUACCGCAUACCAUUGGAUGUACCCAGAUGGGAUUAGCUAGUGGGUGGGGUAACGGCUCACCAAGGCGACGAUCCCGAGCUGGUCUGAGAGGCUGACCAGCCAGACUGGAACGGAGACACGGUCCAGACGCCUACGAGAGGCAGCAGUGGGGAAUAUUGCACAAUGGGCGCAAGCCUGAUGCAGCCAUGCCGCGUGUAUGAAGAAGGCCUUCGGGUUGUAAAGUACUUUCAGCGGGGAGGCGUUACCCGCAGAAGAAGCACCGGCUAACUCCGUGCCAGCAGCCGCGGUAAUAC